Molecule: transfer RNA, 63 nt
Filed under: Myzostoma seymourcollegiorum
Lineage: Eukaryota; Metazoa; Annelida; Myzostomida; Myzostomatidae
Description: tRNA-Thr
Source: RNAcentral
UCUUUUAUAGUUAAAUUUAUAACAUUAGUUUUGUAAACUAAAAUUGAUCUAUAUCUAAAAGAA